RNAcentral lists this long non-coding RNA (357 nucleotides) under Ananas comosus (pineapple). Its description in RNAcentral is "long non-coding RNA (ACOM_LNC038829)". Lineage: Eukaryota; Viridiplantae; Streptophyta; Magnoliopsida; Poales; Bromeliaceae. The record is from RNAcentral.
AAAUAGUGUGAGAUACUAUUUUUAUUGGACUUAUAGAAGUAAAAUAUAAGUGGGGAACUACUCAUGCGGAAAUCGAAGCGAGAACAGAAGAUUUUGAAUUUUCUGUGUGAAUCGAGGCUGUUAUUUUAGCAGAAAAUGCACAGUGUCAGAAAAUUUCGAAAAUCUGGGAAUAUGUCAGAAUUAUUUUUAUGAGGCUAGAUUUAAGGUUUCAUGUCAUUCUGACACCCGGAAGGUGAAAAAUAAAAUCCGACAGUUAUCUGAUAAAGAUUACAGUUCGUUACAGUUUUCGGUGACCAAACGGGGUCGAAACUGAAAGAUUAAAAUUUCCUUCGUUAAGUAAGGUUAGACCGAGCAUGA